RNAcentral lists this long non-coding RNA (508 nucleotides) under Chrysemys picta bellii (western painted turtle). RNAcentral's name for it is "lncRNA (ENSCPBG00000014351.1)". The record is from RNAcentral. Lineage: Eukaryota; Metazoa; Chordata; Testudines; Emydidae.
CAUUAGGAAGUUCAUCUGCAACAGCUGUGUGUGGAGCCCAGGAUUUGAACAGCAGUGAGGCUGCAGGGCAGGACUGAGGGACAUUGACAGAGCUGGGGUGUGGGGGAGCUUCUGUAGUGCAUGCCCAAACCAGACCUUGUUUUCUUUCUCUCUCCCAGCUGAAUAAGGAGACUCAGACAUACUCCUUCACCAUGAGCCAAGACAUUCCAGUGAAGGAUCUGAAGCCAGCAGUGGUCAAAGUCUAUGAUUACUACCAGCCAGAUGAGCAGGCGACAGUGGAAUAUACAGAUCCAUGCCAGUGAGGUGAGCAUGGCUUUCAUGGAGUAGUAUGCACCAUUAUUGUGCAACUAAUACAAGCAUAGGCAUGAGGUGAAGAAAUGAGGUACACCUCUACCCUGAUAUAACACGGUCCUCCGGAGCCAAAAAAAUCUUACCAUGCUAUAGGUGAGACCGCUUUAUAUCGAACUUGCUUUGGCCUCCUUGUCCCCUGAAUGCCCCGACCCUAUCC